UACAGAGGUCUCGAGCGUUGUUCGGAUUCAUUGGGCGUAAAGGGUGCGUAGGCGGCCCUGUAAGUCAGUGCUGAAAUACCCCGGCUUAACCGGGGGGGUGGCAUUGAUACUGCAGGGCUUGAGUACAGAUGAGGUAGGCGGAAUUGACGGUGUAGCGGUGAGAUGCAUAGAUAUCGUCAAGAACACCUAUAGCGAAGGCAGCUUACUGGGCUGUAACUGACGCUGAGGCACGAAAGUGUGGGGAUCAAACAGG
Molecule: ribosomal RNA, 253 nt
Filed under: uncultured bacterium
Lineage: Bacteria
Description: partial 16S ribosomal RNA
Rfam family: Bacterial small subunit ribosomal RNA
Source: RNAcentral